Scomber japonicus (chub mackerel) is the source of this 376-nucleotide long non-coding RNA. RefSeq lists it as uncharacterized. Lineage: Eukaryota; Metazoa; Chordata; Actinopteri; Scombriformes; Scombridae. The transcript has 3 exons. The record is from RefSeq and is a predicted model, not a curated record.
GAAUUUGCAUGGAUGCUAACAUCUGAAAAUGGUCUACCUGGCUCUACCUGCCUGUUUUCAGUGAAGCACUUUCCAUCUGUGAUGAAACAGCUGACUCAGGACACAACGGACCGUUGUGACGUCAAGUAACGAAGGCAGCAGCAGCAGCAUGUCUGUUGAGGCAGCUGCAGAGUGUCUGCCUCCUCAGAGGAGCCUGUGUGGGCUGCUCAGAUGAGAAGAAACAGAGAGCCUGCUUCAAGACUUGACCCUGGAAAGAGCCUUUUGGACCUGAGGCCAGGGCUGGUUUCUGAUGCUCUGAUGAUGCAGCAGGGCCAUCAUGAUGCUCAACUGCCAUGCCAUACCUACCUCUGACAUCUGCAGCAACAUGCACCCCACA